AUUGAACGCUAGCGGCAGGCCUAACACAUGCAAGUCGAACGAGUGGCGGACGGGUGAGUAAUGUAUGGGAAACUGCCUGAUGGCGGGGGAUAACUACUGGAAACGGUAGCUAAUACCGCAUACCAUCAGAUGUGCCCAGAUGGGAUUAGCUAGUUGGUGGGGUAACGGCUCACCAAGGCGACGAUCCCUAGCUGGUUUGAGAGGAUGACCAGCCACACUGGAACUGAGACACGGCCCAGACUCCUACGGGAGGCAGCAGUGGGGAAUUUUGCACAAUGGGGGAAAGCCUGAUGCAGCCAUGCCGCGUGUAUGAUGAAGGCCUUCGGGUUGUAAAGUACUUUCAGCGGGGAGGCGGUACCUGCAGAAGAAGCACCGGCUAACUACGUGCCAGCAGCCGCGGUAAUAC
This 406-nucleotide ribosomal RNA is filed under the name uncultured bacterium. RNAcentral describes it as "partial 16S ribosomal RNA". It matches the Rfam family "Bacterial small subunit ribosomal RNA", at positions 30 to 526 of the family's 1533-position model. The record is from RNAcentral.